GGCACCAUGGCUUAGUUGGUUAAAGCACCUGUCUUGUAAACAGGAGAUCCCCGGUUCGAAUCCGGGUGGUGCCU
Molecule: transfer RNA, 74 nt
Filed under: Patiria miniata (bat star)
Lineage: Eukaryota; Metazoa; Echinodermata; Asteroidea; Valvatida; Asterinidae
Description: tRNA-Thr
Rfam family: tRNA
About the family: Transfer RNA (tRNA) molecules are approximately 80 nucleotides in length. Their secondary structure includes four short double-helical elements and three loops (D, anti-codon, and T loops). Further hydrogen bonds mediate the characteristic L-shaped molecular structure. tRNAs have two regions of fundamental functional importance: the anti-codon, which is responsible for specific mRNA codon recognition, and the 3' end, to which the tRNAs corresponding amino acid is attached (by aminoacyl-tRNA synthetases). tRNAs cope with the degeneracy of the genetic code in two manners: having more than one tRNA (with a specific anti-codon) for a particular amino acid; and 'wobble' base-pairing, i.e. permitting non-standard base-pairing at the 3rd anti-codon position.
Source: Rfam by way of RNAcentral